Eucalyptus grandis is the source of this 344-nucleotide RNA transcript. RefSeq lists it as uncharacterized. The transcript is spliced from 3 exons. NCBI's taxonomy places the organism in Eukaryota, Viridiplantae, Streptophyta, Magnoliopsida, Myrtales, Myrtaceae. The record is from RefSeq and is a predicted model, not a curated record.
CCUACCAAAACCCGCAGUGAAAGACUGCAAUUCCAUUCCGCCAAAAACAUACUGGUGGGACUGGAUUUGUAUCCGAGGACAUAGCUUUGAAGUGUCGUGGAAAUAUUUUCAAGGGAAGAGCUCCCUCCUCAUACAAUUCAUAUUCGACCGUCGAUGAUCAAGGUUGAAAAGGACCCCAAGCUUUCAGAUAUCAGGACCGUUGAUGCACUUGAAAUAGUACAAACAAGUAAUAAACCAAAGCCUACAUAUCUUUCAAAGAUUUUGAUUGCACUUUUAAGCUAUGGCGGGGUCCCUAAUGAAUUUCUUUUGGACAUGGUGGAGAAUGCUCUGGGAGAUGCAAAUAG